AUGACUGGCGGCAACGACUACACUAUCAGUAGCUAUUUUACGUGCAAUGCCACGCUGCACCCCUAUGUGCACAACCUCACCUCCUCCUACACAGACCAGAAAAAUGAGGCUUUCACGGUGACCACAAGCAUCGUCAUGUUCAUCCUCGCGGCUCUCUUCUUCAACCUAAAUCUCUUCAGCCGGCUCUCCAACGUGAGCGCCAUCCUCAACCCCACCGUCCGCCUCUUCCUCUCCACCUCGCUGUCGCUUUUCCUCCCCGUCAUGUCCUACCUCUUCUCCGAGGCCAAGAAGGAUAAUGCCACCACCAUGACCGGUACUGGUACUGGUUCAAGUCAGCUGGGCGCCGAGCUGUCACUCCGAGCCCGCACGAUCCUCAUGUGGAUGCUCCUUGUGGAGCUCCUCCGCAAGAAGGUGGAGGCCAUCCUGGUGAACGUGGGCAUGCAGUGGUACUCGGGCACCAUUGAUCGCGCAGCCCGCAUCGUUUGGCUGGGCUACCUCGUCUUCUACAACGUCAAAAGCACCGGCAAGAGGGUAAUCUACGGCACCUUGUGGGUGCUUGCGGCUGCCAAGUUGCUGCAGAGGGUCGCCAUCAACGAGCUGCUCAAGCGUUCAUUUGCCUAUGGCAGGAACGCCCAGCUGCUUAACUCGUACAUGACCCAGAUGCUACACGAGGAAGAGCGGCGGCAGCUGCUGCAGCAGCAGCAGCAGCGGGACGAGGUUGGGGGAUCGGAGCUGUUGAAGAUGUGUAGGUACCCCGUGAUAGGAGAAGACAACCUGGAGAGGAAGGCUGGCCCGGACGGCUACCACCUCCAGCUCCCACGAAAGAACACCACCGACGACGCCGCUGACAGCGACUCUACCACCGACGACUCCCACGCCGACGCCGACUCCGCCACCGUUACGGUGGGCGAUAUUUGGAGCCUCCCAGAUGACAAGAAGGACAAGGGCGGGCUCCUCCUGGAAGACCCAAGACUGAAAAGGCUGUGCCUCUCCUUUGCACUCUACAAGCUGCUGCGCCGGAGGUUCGAGGAUCUCCCCAUCACCGGCGCGGAAACCCACAACUGCCGGAACCUCAUCUUCAAAGGCCUGCACAAGGAGCUGCUGCUUCAAGGUGUGAAGGCUACAAAACCCCAAGGCUUGGACGUGGAGCUACAAGGUGCGGACGUCGCAGCUGCACUCUUCCAAGUGUUCGAUGAAGAGGUCCAGUUCCUUUGCGAGUACUACCACUCUUUUCUACCCGUCGUCCUUUCCAACCCCUUCUUCUUUUUGGCCAACUACAUCCUAUUUCCCAUCCUGGUAUGGGCCUUCUGCAUCCUGACCUUCAUCCUCUGCGGCAACGGGAACGUGCACUACGCACUCCAGAGCAUCAAGAGUGACAACUACAUCAUAUCAACCGGCGCCAUGACGUUGACCAGAUGCCUCCUGAGGAGGAUUGGCCAUUCCCCGGAGGUGCUCUUCGCCACUAUCGACCUAAGCAUCACAAUCCUGCUCUUGCUCACCUUCCUCUAUGAGCAAGUCUGGGAGUACCUUGUCUUCAUCCUCUCCAACUGGCUCAUGGUGUCGCUACUCUGCCAUUACACCGGCAAGCGCCAGUGGCGCCAGAGCCGCGGCUUGACAAGGCUCAUCCACUGCCUCCUGUGGGUGCGGAGCAAGUUGAGCCACCGCAACCUCUGCUUCAAGCAGUACUCCGUGCUAUGCUUCUGUCCUUUGUUGCCUAACAAGGCAGUACCAAAGGAAGUGAAGAAGUCCAUCCUGGACUACCUGGUUACUCACAUUGAUGGCCAUGGCGAUGGCGGCCACGCUGCCCCUCUCACUAAUGGUUGGUCCAUACUGCAGUCGGACAAGCACAGCCAGUAUCGCAGCCUGCUGGCAUCGGCGUGCGAGAACAAGAGCGGCGCCGAGGUCAUCCUCAUCUGCCACAUCGCCACCAGCCUCUUGGAGGUGAGGUACCCGAUGCAGAACAAGACAUUGAUGGGAAGUCAUCGCAAGGUGGCAACGACCUUGUCCAAGUACUGCGCUUACUUGGUGGCCCAGUAUCCGGAGCUGCUCCCCGAAGAUAAGGACGGGACGGAGCUCACGUACAAGGAGAUGGUGGAAGAUUUGAAAAAGGAGCUUGGGGGCUGUUGGAGGUACCACCUGUCGCGGCAGAGCACCCGGUACAAGAAGCUGAGGGAGAUCGGCAGACCGAAGCAUGCGACGGUGGUGGUGGAGCCGCCGCCGAUGACGACUGUGCAGACGGGAGCAAAGUUGGGGAGGAAGCUGAUCCACGGGGCAAAUGAGCAUGACGCGCGUGUGUGGGAGCUACUGGCCGACUUCUGGACGGAGCUCAUGGUGUACGUGGCGCCAUCGAGCAGUGAGGUGCACGUGAAGGCGCACAAGGAGGCCCUGGCGCAGGGCGGUGAGUUCGUCACCGUCCUCUGGGCACUGACCACGCACACCGGCAUAACCAGGCCGGCCGUCAAGCCAUGGACCGUCAUCCCGAUCCAAGAUGUUGAGGAUACAACGUCUCCUCAAAGUGUGUAG
RNAcentral lists this ribosomal RNA (2523 nucleotides) under Triticum aestivum (bread wheat). Its description in RNAcentral is "partial small subunit ribosomal RNA". Lineage: Eukaryota; Viridiplantae; Streptophyta; Magnoliopsida; Poales; Poaceae. The record is from RNAcentral.